UUAAUUGCAUUUUGCUUAUGUUUUCUCCCUUUCUCUCACUUAGUUUUUGAUUUUCCAGGGAGAUUAACCGACACCCAGUUUAAGCACCCUCAAACUUUCCUCAAGUUGAGAUGCACAUCUGGAUCCCAGCUCUACAGCUCGAGCCCAUUGCUGUUUGUUGCUGUUUGCGUUGCUGCAGGCCCCACUUAGGGAUUGUACAAAGUGUUCUUCUAAAAAAAAUAAAUACUGGAGUGUCCGUACAGCAUUAGAGGAGAAACGCAUUCCUUCUGUAACGUGCUGUUGCCUGAUCAUUACAGAAGCACAGAAAAGAAACUCGGUGGGGACAUAAGGCACUUGGGGCUUUAGAAGAAAAUGUUUUUGCAGUAUUAGGGGCUUGGAGUCAUCCUCAUUUCCAUGUAAGCCCCUGUACUAAGUAAAGGGAGAUCACCAGGCUUUUGAGAAUCAUUCAGAUGUCCUUAUAAGGGAACUUAAAGACCUCAUUUAGCACAAGGAUUCGAUGAGAUUCAGGCCAGCUGAGCCUGGCCUAUAGAGGCAGGGAUCUCUUCUCAAGCUGAUUUAUAAGUCCUAGCAGAGAAAGAGCUGUUGAGUGACCCCAUUGAUGAGACCUGAAGGUUGUGAAGAAGUUGCAGGCCUGCUGGAGAUGAUGGAGAGGCUGGUGCCAGUGGUACGCAGGAGCUGAAGUGACGGCAUAUCCCCGCAUCCACUGAUUGGUGAAUCUGACUCCACCAUGUCCUCAGCAAAAUACUGUCAGGGAGAAGAUGCAGCCAGGGACCACUGCAGAGAAUUAGGCUGAUCCUGCUGGAGCUGGAAAAUGGCUUUUCCAAAGAGUGCAGAGUCAAGUGGAGACAUGAUGGAUUUGCACGUCCAAUCUUCAGUAAAAAGGAAAGAAUAUGGAGCAAACUCUUUCUGAGCACAAGUUCUUCAAUUUCAAGGGCUUCCAACACCCAAAGUUACUUAUAUGGUGCUAUUCCCCUGAAAUCUGCAAAGGGAUGCUGUGUUCAACCAACUGCUGAAACCUGAGGUGCUAUGAGAACAGCUUUGAAUGGAGCUGGUAUGUCAGGAAGAUGCUGUAAAAAACCCAGUUCCUGUUUUCAUGUCAUGAAUCAACACUUCCACUGAAAUUUCUUUGCUAACUGAUUCAUUACUGUAUGUCAUUCUAACAGCAGUCAUCUGCUAUAUGCCUAUUUUCACAGUGUUAAACCGAAAGCCAGGCUUUACGGUUUAAAUAGAAUAUCUCUGUUUCUUGUGGAAAAGAUAGGAUGUGUGCUCUUUAGGACUUUACGUAUGACAAGGGUGAAUCAUCCAGAUGAUGAUGGAAACUUUCUUAGGCAACAUCAGUCCUCCUUUGCCCACUUUGUUUAUCUUCAGUGAUUCUGUGCAGUGAAUUUACUCUGA
Molecule: long non-coding RNA, 1395 nt
Organism: Pezoporus occidentalis (night parrot)
Lineage: Eukaryota; Metazoa; Chordata; Aves; Psittaciformes; Psittacidae
Exons: 3
Source: RefSeq, a predicted model, not a curated record